This 489-nucleotide ribosomal RNA is filed under the name uncultured bacterium. Its description in RNAcentral is "partial 16S ribosomal RNA". It matches the Rfam family "Bacterial small subunit ribosomal RNA", at positions 30 to 506 of the family's 1533-position model. The record is from RNAcentral.
AUUGAACGCUGGCGGCAGGCCUAACACAUGCAAGUCGAACGGUAACAGGAAGACGCUUGCUUCUUUGCUGACGAGUGGCGGGCGGGUGAGUAAUGUCUGGGAAACUGCCUGAUGGAGGGGGAUAACUACUGGAAACGGUCGCUAAUACCGCAUAACGUCGCAAGACCAAAGAGGGGGACCUUCGGGCCUCUUGCCAUCGGAUGUGCCCAGAUGGGAUUAGCUAGUAGGUGGGGUAACGGCUCACCUAGGCGACGAUCCCUAGCGGGUCUGAGAGGAGGACAAGCCACACUGGAACGGGGACACGGUCCAGACUCCUACGGGAGGCAGCAGUGGGGAAUAUUGCACAAUGGGCGAAAGCCUGAUGCAGCAAGGCCGGGGGUAUGAAGAAGGCCUUCGGGUGGUAAAGUACUUUCAGCGGGGAGGAAGGGAGUAAAGUUAAUACCUUUGCUCAUUGACGUUACCCGCAGAAGAAGCACCGGCUAAUUCCGU